This is a long non-coding RNA of Centrocercus urophasianus (Greater sage-grouse), 384 nucleotides long. RefSeq lists it as uncharacterized. The transcript has 3 exons. The record is from RefSeq and is a predicted model, not a curated record. Lineage: Eukaryota; Metazoa; Chordata; Aves; Galliformes; Phasianidae.
UUGAUAACAUCCAUGGACAACCCAUGCAAAAUAAGAAACAGCAGACGAGAGCGUACUUUGACAAGCAAAAUAUUUGGGUGAAUUUCCUCCUGUAUAUUUGGAGAAGCUCAGGACUUGGAAUUCUCUGAAGCAUAAACUAGCUCUUCUUCCUCUCCCCAGAGAACCCGUGACGUUUCCAUUAAUGAGUAUAAAAGUGAAGACUGGAUAAAUUGGUGAAAUAUCUUAAGUAAACCACAUGAAAUUGAAUGCAAAAAUACAAAUUAUGAUGUGCGGAUGGAAAAAUAUCACGUACAAAUAUAAAGAAGUGACCAUAGUAUUUACAGAGCAUGGAGAAAGGCAGUGGAGAGUCAUAAGGAGGGCAUUUGCGUCAAGGUAUUGCCUCAG